GUGGGGGAUAUUGCACAAUGGGGGAAACCCUGAUGCAGCGACGCCGCGUGAAGGAAGACGUACUUCGGUAUGUAAACUUCUAUCAGCAGGGAAGAAGAUGACGGUACCUGACUAAGAAGCCCCGGCUAACUACGUGCCAGCAGCCGCGGUAAUACGUAGGGGGCAAGCGUUAUCCGGAUUUACUGGGUGUAAAGGGAGUGUAGACGGUGAAGCAAGUCUGAUGUGAAAACCCGGGGCUCAACUCCGGGAUUGCAUUGGAAACUGUUUUACUUGAGGGCAGGAGGGGCAAGCGGAAUUCCUGGUGUAGCGGUGAAAUGCGUAGAUAUCAGGAAGAACACCGGUGGCGAAGGCGGCUUGCUGGACAGUAACUGACGUUGAGGCUCGAAAGCGUGGGGAGCAAACAGGAUUAGAAACCCCAGUAGUCC
This 425-nucleotide ribosomal RNA is filed under the name uncultured bacterium. RNAcentral's name for it is "partial 16S ribosomal RNA". It matches the Rfam family "Bacterial small subunit ribosomal RNA", at positions 354 to 796 of the family's 1533-position model. The record is from RNAcentral.